UUUGUUGUAAUUCAUGAUC
Molecule: small nuclear RNA, 19 nt
Filed under: Arabidopsis thaliana (thale cress)
Lineage: Eukaryota; Viridiplantae; Streptophyta; Magnoliopsida; Brassicales; Brassicaceae
Description: snRNA_14993
Source: RNAcentral